RNAcentral lists this long non-coding RNA (598 nucleotides) under Anas platyrhynchos (mallard). RNAcentral's name for it is "lncRNA (ENSAPLG00020008967.1)". The record is from RNAcentral. Lineage: Eukaryota; Metazoa; Chordata; Aves; Anseriformes; Anatidae.
GUCACUCACCUGAAUAUAUGGGAAAGAAAGGAACAGAAAUCACUGAUACUCAUGAUGUGACAGGAGAGCCAUCCUGACCUGCGUCUCUGGUGGAGGGUGCACAACAUCAGCUGCAUGCAGGGAGUGGUCUGCGAGGCUGGGGCUAGGAAUGGGAUCGUCUCCCUGUGGUAUUGCUGCUUUGAGCUUCAUCUAUGCGUGUGUCCCAUGAGCAAACUAAACAAAUGGAAGGCUUCUGCUAAGCUUCGACUCUCACAAAACUCAGCUCCUUGCCUCCAACGAAUCAACAGCCACAAACCCCGUGCAGGCUGGGAAGAAAGAAGAGGGCUAGGUACUGUACAAACACAGGACAGCUGCACAGAUAUUAUCACAGAACAACAGGCUGAAUGGAUUUUGAAAGAUCAGAGUUUAUCAUGCUGCCCCAAGGCAAGAUUAACUAUCCCUGUGUUAUUCCUAAAAGAUGUUUGUAUAAGUCGUUCUUAAAGGCCUCCAAAGAUGGACACUCCACAGCUUCCCAGGGCAAUUUAUUCUGGUGCUUUACCACCCUUCCUGUCACAGAGUUUUUUCCCAUCAUGUUUAACAUAAAUUUCUCUUACUGCAG